Molecule: long non-coding RNA, 371 nt
Organism: Nycticebus coucang (slow loris)
Lineage: Eukaryota; Metazoa; Chordata; Mammalia; Primates; Lorisidae
Exons: 3
Source: RefSeq, a predicted model, not a curated record
GGCCGGGCCACCAGGAGGAUGGUGUUCAGCUGUCCCAGAGCUGCUCGCCGCUGGAGGUACCGCUUCCUGGAUGCCGUGAGGAGGCAGAAACAAAGAGUCCAAACUUAUACCUCCUGCCUGGCACCCAACCCUCAAACUACCCUGAAGGGUGUUCAGCUGCUGGUUCACCACCUAAAUAUGAUUCCCCAACUAGCCCUGGAGGCACCAUCUCCACCAUCUCCGCCAUCUCCACGGUUUCCAGCCCUGUGUGGCCAGUGUUUGGCUCAAGGUAGAUGGAGCAGAUGGCCAGACAGAGGACGGUGCAGACAGGCUGUGCGAGUGAACAGGAGACAUGAGAGUCGAGUAGAGAGCAGAAGAGAACAAUCAAAGAA